GAUGAACGCUGACAGAAUGCUUAACACAUGCAAGUCAACUUGAAUUUGGGUUUUUAACUUAGGUUUGGGUGGCGGACGGGUGAGUAACGCGUAAAGAACUUGCCUCACAGCUAGGGACAACAUUUGGAAACGAAUGCUAAUACCUAAUAUUAUGAUAAUAGGGCAUCUUAUAAUUAUGAAAGCUAUAAGCGCUGUGAGAGAGCUUUGCGUCCCAUUAGCUAGUUGGAGAGGUAACGGCUCACCAAGGCGAUGAUGGGUAGCCGGUCUGAGAGGGUGAUCGGCCACAAGGGGACUGAGACACGGCCCUUACUCCUACGGGAGGCAGCAGUGGGGAAUAUUGGACAAUGGACCGAGAGUCUGAUCCAGCAAUUCUGUGUGCACGAUGAAGUUUUUCGGAAUGUAAAGUGCUUUCAGUUGGGAAGAAACAAAUGACGGUACCAACAGAAGAAGUGACGGCUAAAUACGUG
RNAcentral lists this ribosomal RNA (467 nucleotides) under uncultured bacterium. Its description in RNAcentral is "partial 16S ribosomal RNA". It matches the Rfam family "Bacterial small subunit ribosomal RNA", at positions 28 to 507 of the family's 1533-position model. The record is from RNAcentral.